GAUGAAGAACGUAGUGAAAUGCGAUACUUGGUGUGAAUUGCAGAAUCCCGCGAAUCAUCGAGUUUUUGAACGCAAGUUGCGCCCGAAGCCAUUCGGCCGAGGGCACGUCUGCCUGGGUGUCACGCAUCGUUGCCCCCCCCAAACUCCGGUUCGGGCAGGGCGGAAGUUGGCCUCCCGUGCGUGCCUGCGCGCGCGGUUAGCCCAAAAGCGAGUCCUCGGCGACGAGCGCCACGACAAUCGGUGGUUUUUUUACCCUCGUUCCUCGUCGUGCGUGCCCCGUCGCCCGAACGCGCUCUUGUGACCCUCACGCGUCGCCUCGGCGGCGCUCCCAACGCGACCCCAGGUCAGGCGGGACUACCCGCUGAGUUUAAGCAUAUCAAUAAGCGGAGGA
Molecule: unclassified non-coding RNA, 391 nt
Filed under: soil metagenome
Description: partial contains 5.8S ribosomal RNA, internal transcribed spacer 2, and large subunit ribosomal RNA
Rfam family: 5.8S ribosomal RNA (bases 1-122)
Source: RNAcentral